This is a non-coding RNA of Punica granatum (pomegranate), 799 nucleotides long. The record is from RefSeq and is a predicted model, not a curated record. NCBI's taxonomy places the organism in Eukaryota, Viridiplantae, Streptophyta, Magnoliopsida, Myrtales, Lythraceae.
CGUAGGAAGGGCCCCACGUGGCCUCAUUUCCCCCAAGCAACUCCACCACCAUUUCCUUCUUUCUUCUUCUUUCUUUUUCUUUCUUUUCUUUUUUUGUGUUGUUUGGGCAUAAAACGAAGAAGAAAAACAGAGCGAGCUCGGGAUAGAGCAAAGGGAAUCGGAAGAAGAUAGAGUAGAACAUAGGAAGAACGUGAACUCGAUUGAGAGCUCGGGUUGGGGUUUAUGGAAGAGACAGGAUGAGCAAAGCAAGGGGACUAGGAGAACGACCUAAGAGGGAGUUGAGCAUGAAAUUGAAUUUAUCAUCCAUGGUGUUCGGGGAUUAUGGAGACUAAGCUUUGCAUCUCGAAGGAUCGACCCGAUGAAAUAUUUUUGAGUAUUCACUCGUUAGAUAUGAAGUGCCGGGGUAGUAGUUGAUAGAGGUAUCACUUGUGAUGAUAAAUGAGUUGCUGAACUGGAGCAAGGCAUUUUACUCAAUUGAUGUGGCUCGAAUGACGUUGGGCAAAUAAUGGGUGACAUGAUGGGAGCAGCAACGGCCAUGGAGUAUAACAACAAAGAAUAGAAGAUGAGGAUGAUGAUUGUAUUACUAUUUUAAUACAAGAAACUCGUCUAUCUGCUUGAUUGAUUAGUUAAUAAAUUUUGUUAGUAAUCAUUAUAUAACCGAUAUAGUCAUCUUUUGUCCCUUUUUUUUUUCUUUUCCCAAAAAAUUACUUCCUCUGCAGUGUCACUUUUAAACGGUCCCACUGCUAUAGUGUUCAUGGAACAUCACUGUAACCAACAUCAAUAAUACAUAUACAAUCAA